ACCGACCGUCUCUAGAGCAAGUGACAAAGGGCUUGGUGGUUGGUACCCGAGACCCAAGUUUGAAUCCUAGUUGAUUCACAUUUCUUGUUAAAACGAAGCGGAUAGCGUGCUACCUAUCUCUCAAAAAAAAAAAAAUUAUAAAUUCAUCUCUAUUAUAAGUUUUAAUUAUCACAAUAUAUUCCUUUAAAGCUUCAAAAUAUGCAAAUUUAUCUUAACUACCGUUUGUUAACGGUUAAGUUUUUGCCGUUUGGACUGUUAUAUCUUUGGAAAAAAAUAAAUUUUUAAAAUCUUUUUCAGGAUGUAUUAUUUAUGAUUUUAGUAGAAUGAUACGUAAGUUAUAAUAAAAAUAAUUUAAAAUAAUAAAUAAUAUUAAAUAUAAUUAAAAGUGCAUAUUGAAGGAUAGAAUGGUUAUUUUACAUAACAAGGUCAACACUAAUCUGUCAACUAAUAUAGAAAGGUAUAUAUUAAGCACUAUUAUGCUAAUUUGGAGAAAUAUAUUUGAUAACUGAAGCUUUAUAUGAAAAAAUAUAUAUAUAAUUUUCUUGUUUCAUAGGGAUACACUUAUUAUAUUUAUCAAUAAUUUAAAAAUCGGGAUUGACCGUCCCUAGUUCAAGUGGCAAAAGGCCUGCUUGUUGAUACCCGAGAUCCCCGGUUCGAAGUCUAGUUAUUUCAUAUUUCUAACUAAGUUUAUUAUUUCUAAAAUGAAAUAAACGAAAUGGAUAGCAUGUUACCUUCCUCUCAAAAAAAAAAAAUUUAAAAAUCGGGACGAAUCUGCCGGUUC
Molecule: long non-coding RNA, 781 nt
Filed under: Ananas comosus (pineapple)
Lineage: Eukaryota; Viridiplantae; Streptophyta; Magnoliopsida; Poales; Bromeliaceae
Description: long non-coding RNA (ACOM_LNC019973)
Source: RNAcentral